Molecule: ribosomal RNA, 370 nt
Filed under: uncultured organism
Description: bacterial SSU rRNA
Rfam family: Bacterial small subunit ribosomal RNA
Source: RNAcentral
CGAAGGGGGCGAGCGUUGUUCGGAAUCACUGGGCGUAAAGAGUGCGUAGGCGGUUAUGAAAGUUAGGAGUGAAAGCCCAGGGCUUAACCUUGGAAUUGCUUUUAAAACUACAUAACUCGAAUUCGGGAGAGGAUAGCGGAAUUGUCAGUGUAGCAGUGAAAUGCGUAGAUAUUGACAGGAACACCAGUGGCGUAAGCGGCUAUCUGGACCGACAUUGACGCUGAGGCACGAAAGCGUGGGGAUCAAACAGGAUUAGAUACCCUGGUAGUCCACGCCGUAAACGAUGUGUGUUUGUCGCUGGGGAGUUUACUCUUCGGUGACGGAGCUAACGCGUUAAGCACACCGCCUGGGAAGUACGGUCGCAAGAUUA